AGAGGAUUCUGCAUGUGGAAGAAAUAACUGCAUAUUAAAGCCAACACGUGCUUCUCUGACGUCUCUGCUUGUGGACAUAAAGAUUCCAAGAGGAUUAACUGUCCACAUAACUGGAGUGAUUGGAAAGUUGCACUGAUGAUAUGGACUAAUGGCAGUAAGAGAACCAAGCCAGCUCCAAGGAGAAAAGUUAAAGUGAUGUGCCAUAUUUCACUACAUGUUCUUGUACUGUAUGCAAAAGAUCAACACCCUGAUUAAAGAAACAAAGAAGAAUGCAAAUCCCUUUAAAAAAGGAUAAAAUACUAUGCCUGUGGGACACUCAUCAAUGGAAAGCAAAAGUGCAUGUCCGAGGAUAGUGUGUGGAUCUUAAUUAAUACAUUGUAAAUGCUUUCUUACUAAUUUUCUUAUAUAUUUUUCUAUAUCAUAUUGAUAUGCCCAAUGCGAAAAACUAGUAUUUCUCCAGGCUACUUAAAUUUGCACUUUUGAUUUAUACAUUUAGAACCAGAUGCUGCAAAGUGUUGACCAGUUCCUUAACUGCCAAUAAAAUGUGUAGGAGUUGAAGGCAUUUCAUUACCUUCCAGCAGAUGAUUAACACCUCACCAGGGCAGACCUUUAGAGACAUUCCAUAUUAAAAAUGUACACCCCUGUCAGAAACUGGGCUUAUCCAAGGUCAUGAGAGAAUUAUUAGAGCUGAUGGAGUUGCUU
This is a long non-coding RNA of Mauremys reevesii (Reeves's turtle), 702 nucleotides long. RefSeq lists it as uncharacterized. The transcript is spliced from 4 exons. The record is from RefSeq and is a predicted model, not a curated record. NCBI's taxonomy places the organism in Eukaryota, Metazoa, Chordata, Testudines, Geoemydidae.